CGUGGGAUGCGAGCGUUAUUCGGAUUUACUGGGCGUAAAGAGUUCGUAGGCGUUUGGGUACACCUUGUUUCAAAGCCCGGGGCUUAACUCCGGAAAGGGAUAGGAUAUGGCCUGAAUUGAGUGUGCUAGGGAUACUGGAACUGAUAGUGUAGCAGUGAAAUGCGUUGAUAUUAUCAGGAACACCGAGAGCGAAGGCAGGUAUCUGGGGCACAACUGACGCUGAGUGAACGAAAGCUAGGGGAGCGAAAGGGAUUAGAGACCCCUGUAGUCCUAGCCGUAAACUAUGUCCGCUUGAUUUUCCGAGUCUUGUACUUGGGGGGUCGGAGCUAACGCGUGAAGCGGACCGCCGUGGGGAGUACGACCGCAAGGUUA
This 372-nucleotide ribosomal RNA is filed under the name uncultured organism. RNAcentral's name for it is "bacterial SSU rRNA". It matches the Rfam family "Bacterial small subunit ribosomal RNA", at positions 526 to 896 of the family's 1533-position model. The record is from RNAcentral.